Molecule: ribosomal RNA, 283 nt
Filed under: uncultured bacterium
Lineage: Bacteria
Description: partial 16S ribosomal RNA
Rfam family: Bacterial small subunit ribosomal RNA
Source: RNAcentral
AACUUUCCCAGAACUGGUGAAUAGCCCUCCGAAAGGAGGAUUAAUACACCGUAACAUAAUGGAGUGGCAUCACUUUAUUAUUAUAGCUCCGGCGGUUCUGGAUGGGCGUGCGGCUGAUUAGGUAGUUGGCGGGGUAACGGCCCACCAAGCCUUCGAUCAGUAACUGGUGUGAGAGCACGACCAGUCACACGGGCACUGAGACACGGGCCCGACUCCUACGGGAGGCAGCAGUAAGGAAUAUUGGUCAAUGGACGCAAGUCUGAACCAGCCAUGCCGCGUGCAG